CAACUGUACUAUAUGCCUAUAUCCCCAUAGAGUUGUGUGCCAACUGAUCGUAUAGACAGUUGGUUAAUAGUGAAACUACUGCUUCCAAACUCCAAUCUAACACAGUUCCCUUGUGUUAUUACCACAUUGCCCAAUGUGAUGCAUUUAGCAGCGAUGACUAAAUCUAGACCAUCACCAAAACUAGAGUCCCCAUGAAUAGGGACGCCUGGACUAGGUUUCACCUCAGUAAAAAGUGUAUUGCUGUUUUGUGGUGGGGCACUAGUAAUCUCUUGAAAGUACUUUUAAUUGAAGGGAACAAAGCACUGAUAAAGAAAAAUAUUUAACUGUGGAAACCACACAGAUUAAGCAGCAGAAGGCUGUUCUCACCUAAGGCCUCCUCCCCACACACAUCCUAACUUCUCAAACACAAGCAACUUUUUUCUCUUGAUCCACAAAAUUCCCACCACCUUAACUCAGUGUGAUUUCCUUGGUCUUCUACAUAGUCUACCAUGUAAGCUUCCACAUUUAGCCUUUCCAUGUGUCCAGUUGUUUGCACUCAUCCCUUACCAUUCAUCCAUGUUACUAAGUGCAACUCUUUGUUUUUAUUACUAUGAAUAAACUGCAGUUUAUUGAUUGCUUAAACUAUUAGCAUACAUAUAUCAGUUGGAGUGCCUAGGUCCACUCCACUUCUUACAAGAAAUAAAAGCCCAAAAUAUUAAUGAUUU
RNAcentral lists this long non-coding RNA (704 nucleotides) under Rattus norvegicus (Norway rat). RNAcentral's name for it is "long non-coding RNA NONRATT003039". The record is from RNAcentral. Lineage: Eukaryota; Metazoa; Chordata; Mammalia; Rodentia; Muridae.